Molecule: small RNA, 29 nt
Filed under: Bombyx mori (domestic silkworm)
Lineage: Eukaryota; Metazoa; Arthropoda; Insecta; Lepidoptera; Bombycidae
Description: ovarian small RNA-25357
Source: RNAcentral
UCACUAAGAAACCUAUACCGUAUUGGCCC